CCAGAAAGUGUGCAAGAGUAUAUACCAUGAAAGUCUUCUUAGUAUUAUCAGCACUCCUAGCUUUGCUGAUGUCUCGGGCGACAAUCACAAGUGCACAAAAGUGUGACUGUCCAAGUGACUUCUCACCCGUCUGUGGCCGAGACUUGAGGACCUAUCCUAAUGAAUGCACAUUGGGGUGUGCAAAGCAGAGGAAAGCGUACAAUGGACACUGCAAGAAACGAGGGAACUUCUACUAACUGGCUGCAUCACUCUUCACCAUAAUUAUAAUUAAUUACUAACGAGACGACUACCACACGCCAAUGUGUGGAACGAUGCAUCUGUAUGCAUAUAGAAGGGCUAUCAAUGUGUGCAUGUUUUGGUCUGUUGACGUCAAAAAUAUGUUUGUCUUUUCGAAGUUGGCUAAGUAUUUCGAAAUUAAAAUCAAAUUGUUUUUAUUUCAAAUAGGCCUUUGCAGGCUCUUAUGAAAUGUCGCAUUAAUUGACAUUUCAUGUAUGUGUAGUAGUGUUUUGUUUUGUACAUUUUGAGUAUUAUGAAGUCUAUAGUAGCCAACUUCGGGCAACCAAGUAUGAUUAAAUGAAAAUUGAAGGAAUUCAUCAAUAUGUCGUAAUUGCUCGCACCUUCUUAAAGGGCGAAUAUUUUUUCAAACUCAUCUUUUGGUGAUUUAUCUAUUUUUAUAAUUGUUUUUUAAUUGUA
Long non-coding RNA from Helicoverpa armigera (cotton bollworm), 693 nucleotides. RefSeq lists it as uncharacterized. The record is from RefSeq and is a predicted model, not a curated record. Lineage: Eukaryota; Metazoa; Arthropoda; Insecta; Lepidoptera; Noctuidae. The transcript has 3 exons.